This 686-nucleotide ribosomal RNA is filed under the name uncultured bacterium. RNAcentral describes it as "bacterial SSU rRNA". It matches the Rfam family "Bacterial small subunit ribosomal RNA", at positions 55 to 740 of the family's 1533-position model. The record is from RNAcentral.
AUGCAGUCGAACGAAGCAUUUAGAACGGAUUACUUCGGUUUGAAGUUCUUUAUGACUGAGUGGCGGACGGGUGAGUAACGCGUGGGUAACCUGCCUUGUACUGGGGGAUAGCAGCUGGAAACGGCUGGUAAUACCGCAUAAGCGCACAAUGUUGCAUGAUAUGGUGUGAAAAACUCCGGUGGUAUAAGAUGGACCCGCGUCUGAUUAGCUAGUUGGUGAGAUAACAGCCCACCAAGGCGACGAUCAGUAGCCGACCUGAGAGGGUGACCGGCCACAUUGGGACUGAGACACGGCCCAGACUCCUACGGGAGGCAGCAGUGGGGAAUAUUGCACAAUGGAGGAAACUCUGAUGCAGCGACGCCGCAUGAGUGAAGAAGUAAUUCGUUAUGUAAAGCUCUAUCAGCAGGGAAGAUAGUGACGGUACCUGACUAAGAAGCUCCGGCUAAAUACGUGCCAGCAGCCGCGGUAAUACGUAUGGAGCAAGCGUUAUCCGGAUUUACUGGGUGUAAAGGGAGUGUAGGUGGCCAUGCAAGUCAGAAGUGAAAAUCCGGGGCUCAACCCCGGAACUGCUUUUGAAACUGUAAGGCUGGAGUGCAGGAGGGGUGAGUGGAAUUCCUAGUGUAGCGGUGAAAUGCGUAGAUAUUAGGAGGAACACCAGUGGCGAAGGCGGCUCACUGGACUGUAAC